UACAGAGGGGGCAAGCGUUGUUCGGAAUUACUGGGCGUAAAGGGCGCGUAGGCGGCCUUCUAAGUCGAACGUGAAAUCCCCGGGCUCAACCCGAGAACUGCGUCCGAUACUGGAAGGCUUGAAUCCGGGAGAGGGAUGCGGAAUUCCAGGUGUAGCGGUGAAAUGCGUAGAUAUCAGGAAGAACACCCGUGGCGAAGGCGGCUCUCUGGGACGUGACUGACGCUGAGACGCGAAGGCGUGGGGAGCGAUCAGG
Molecule: ribosomal RNA, 253 nt
Filed under: uncultured bacterium
Lineage: Bacteria
Description: partial 16S ribosomal RNA
Rfam family: Bacterial small subunit ribosomal RNA
Source: RNAcentral